This 679-nucleotide ribosomal RNA is filed under the name uncultured Gammaproteobacteria bacterium. Its description in RNAcentral is "bacterial SSU rRNA". It matches the Rfam family "Bacterial small subunit ribosomal RNA", at positions 67 to 735 of the family's 1533-position model. The record is from RNAcentral. Lineage: Bacteria; Pseudomonadati; Pseudomonadota; Gammaproteobacteria.
CGGCAGCACAGCAAUAGCAAUACUGUGGGUGGCGAGUGGCGGACGGGUGAGUAAUGCAUCGGGACCUACCUAGACGUGGGGGAUAACGUAGGGAAACUUACGCUAAUACCGCAUACGUCCUACGGGAGAAAGCAGGGGAUCUUCGGACCUUGCGCGGUUAGACGGACCGAUGUUCGAUUAGCUAGUUGGUAGGGUAAUGGCCUACCAAGGCGACGAUCGAUAGCUGGUCUGAGAGGAUGAUCAGCCACACUGGAACUGAGACACGGUCCAGACUCCUACGGGAGGCAGCAGUGGGGAAUAUUGGACAAUGGGCGCAAGCCUGAUCCAGCAAUGCCGCGUGUGUGAAGAAGGCCUUCGGGUUGUAAAGCACUUUUAUCAGGAGCGAAAUGCCAUUGGUUAAUACCCGGUGGAGCUGACGGUACCUGAGGAAUAAGCACCGGCUAACUUCGUGCCAGCAGCCGCGGUAAUACGAAGGGUGCAAGCGUUAAUCGGAAUUACUGGGCAUAAAGCGUGCGUAGGCGGUUUGUUAAGUCUGUUGUGAAAUCCCCGGGCUCAACCUGGGAAUGGCAAUGGAUACUGGCAAGCUAGAGUGUGAUAGAGGAUGGUGGAAUUCCCGGUGUAGCGGUGAAAUGCGUAGAGAUCGGGAGGAACAUCAGUGGCGAAGGCGGCCAUCUGGAUC